This 495-nucleotide ribosomal RNA is filed under the name uncultured bacterium. Its description in RNAcentral is "partial 16S ribosomal RNA". It matches the Rfam family "Bacterial small subunit ribosomal RNA", at positions 28 to 507 of the family's 1533-position model. The record is from RNAcentral.
GAUGAACGCUGGCGGCGUGCCUAAUACAUGCAAGUCGAACGCUGAAGGAGGAGCUUGCUCUUCUGGAUGAGUUGCGAACGGGUGAGUAACGCGUAGGUAACCUGCCUGGUAGCGGGGGAUAACUAUUGGAAACGAUAGCUAAUACCGCAUGACAACAGUUAUUGCAUGAUAACUGUUUAAAAGGGGCAACUGCUCCACUACCAGAUGGACCUGCGUUGUAUUAGCUAGUUGGUGAGGUAACGGCUCACCAAGGCGACGAUACAUAGCCGACCUGAGAGGGUGGUCGGCCACACUGGGACUGAGACACGGCCCAGACUCCUACGGGAGGCAGCAGUAGGGAAUCUUCGGCAAUGGACGGAAGUCUGACCGAGCAACGCCGCGUGAGUGAAGAAGGUUUUCGGAUCGUAAAGCUCUGUUGUAAGAGAAGAACGAGUGGGAGAGUGGAAAGUUCACACUGUGACGGUAUCUUACCAGAAAGGGACGGCUAACUACGUG